GAUGAACGCUAGCGGCAGGCUUAAUACAUGCAAGUCGAGGGGCAGCGGGUGUAGCAAUACAUGCCGGCGACCGGCGCACGGGUGCGUAACGCGUAUGCAACCUACCUUUAACUGGAGGAUAGCCCCGAGAAAUCGGGAUUAAUACUCCAUAACAUUGCGAAAAGACAUCUUUUUGCAAUUAAAGCUCAGGCGGUUUUAGAUGGGCAUGCGUGACAUUUAGCUAGUUGGUGAGGUAACGGCUCACCAAGGCUUCGAUGUCUAGGGGUUCUGAGAGGAUUACCCCCACACUGGUACUGAGACACGGACCAGACUCCUACGGGAGGCAG
RNAcentral lists this ribosomal RNA (326 nucleotides) under uncultured Bacteroidota bacterium. Its description in RNAcentral is "bacterial SSU rRNA". It matches the Rfam family "Bacterial small subunit ribosomal RNA", at positions 28 to 351 of the family's 1533-position model. The record is from RNAcentral. Lineage: Bacteria; Pseudomonadati; Bacteroidota.